Scatophagus argus is the source of this 406-nucleotide long non-coding RNA. RefSeq lists it as uncharacterized. The transcript is spliced from 3 exons. NCBI's taxonomy places the organism in Eukaryota, Metazoa, Chordata, Actinopteri, Scatophagidae. The record is from RefSeq and is a predicted model, not a curated record.
ACUUUUCUGAGAGGAGGUCCAAUCAAGCAAAAAUAAAAUCACCUGUAUGGGCUUACCACAAUGGGUGACUUGGAUCUUGGGUUCUAUGUGGGGCAUGUUCAGUCGAGUUUUCACAAUGAAAGGCUGGCUUUUUCACAGUAUACUCCUCAGCUUUGGGCCUAAAGCAUCACCUCGGACCUGAAGUUUGCUGUUGCUCCUGUCAUAGCUCGACACGCAAGGACUCCUCCCAAGGCCUUGUACGUGUCUUUGUCAGCCCACAUCUCAGCAUUCGGACAAGCUGCUAUCGGACAAGGGUGCUUCCCAGCCAUUACUUCCACCUGUGUGACAACAGGCGGUCUUAUCUGCUCUUGUGAUGUGAGCCUAGCUGAGUUGCUGAUUAAAAGACAUGGGGUCGUGCCACCUCUCC